This 433-nucleotide ribosomal RNA is filed under the name uncultured bacterium. RNAcentral's name for it is "partial 16S ribosomal RNA". It matches the Rfam family "Bacterial small subunit ribosomal RNA", at positions 29 to 507 of the family's 1533-position model. The record is from RNAcentral.
AACGAACGCUGGCGGCAUGCCUAACACAUGCAAGUCGAACGAGACCUUCGGGUCUAGUUGCGCACGGGUGCGUAACGCGUGGGAACCUGCCCUUAGGUUCGGAAUAACUCCCCGAAAGGGGUGCUAAUACCGGAUAAUGUCUUCGGACCAAAGAUUUAUCGCCUUUGGAUGGGCCCGCGUUGGAUUAGCUAGUUGGUAGGGUAAAAGCCUACCAAGGCGACGAUCCAUAGCUGGUCUGAGAGGAGGAUCAGCCACACUGGGACUGAGACACGGCCCAGACUCCUACGGGAGGCAGCAGUGGGGAAUAUUGGACAAUGGGCGAGAGCCUGAUCCAGCAAUGCCGCGUGAGUGAUGAAGGCCUUAGGGUUGUAAAGCUCUUUUGCCCGGGAUGAUAAUGACGGUACCGGGAGAAUAAGCUCCGGCUAACUCCGUG